AAACAAUAAGUGAGGGUGUUGAAAAUACUUAUGUAUUUAAAUAUGUAUUUGUAUUUGUAUAUGUGCAUAUAAAAUGCACUCAUAAGCUUAUUAUACUUUAUUUACCAGCUUCGCAUAAUUGUAAUACUUAUAAGCAUAUUCUUGAUACAUUAAACAGUCAGUCCACUCAUAAACCUCAAACCGUCGUGUUCUUUAUUCUCUCUCUACAUAUACAUACAUAGAUUU
Rhagoletis zephyria (snowberry fruit fly) is the source of this 225-nucleotide long non-coding RNA. RefSeq lists it as uncharacterized. The record is from RefSeq and is a predicted model, not a curated record. NCBI's taxonomy places the organism in Eukaryota, Metazoa, Arthropoda, Insecta, Diptera, Tephritidae.